RNAcentral lists this long non-coding RNA (1394 nucleotides) under Fukomys damarensis (Damara mole-rat). Its description in RNAcentral is "lncRNA (ENSFDAG00000031900.1)". The record is from RNAcentral. Lineage: Eukaryota; Metazoa; Chordata; Mammalia; Rodentia; Bathyergidae.
GUCCUGCUCGUCCUCUGUCCUCCCGGCCCAGGCCCCUCUGGAAUCAUCCUGUCUGUAGCUACCCAGCUCUCCACCAGCCCAGAUCUCUCGCCUGAGAUAGGUUUGCUCUUUGAUCUCCACCAGCUGUUUCUAUUAAUAUGACCCGAGAUCCAGAUCUAACUCACACAGCACCUGUGGCUGGCUGACGCCUCCCAACCCCCACCUCCAGCUCGAGCCAGUUUCCCCUCAGCUGAGCUCUGGGGUCUGCAAGCUGCCCCGGGGUAGUUCUUUCCCAAAGCUUCCCAUGCUCAACAACCUUCUGUGGCUUCCUUCUGCCUGCAGUGGGUCCCAACCCCUCAGCCCCCUGCCUCAGCUAGCUGUGUUAUCUGCCUUCCUUCCUCUUCUGUCCAAGCAGCGCCGCCAUGCGGUAUCCCCCACCCAGCCCUGCUCCUGGCCAUCUACCAGCCCUUCCUGCUCAUCCCAAGAUGGGGAGCAGGACCAGAAGCGGGGCGUGGCCCUACAAUCCCCACAGCUUCCAGUCUCUGCCACCGCUGGUCCAGCAACCUCCACACCUUCCUGUCCGGAAACCGUAUUCCAAGACUGGAAACUGUGGAGAAGCCACAGGGCGCCAACCUAAGCGACUUGGGGCUGCAGGUAGGAGACAGAUGGGGGAGGGGCUCACAGGAAAGGGCACGGAUGGAAACUGGGCCGGGAAAGUUGCGUGCAUCUGCGCCUGAGGCUGUGAAUAAACACUCACCCCAGACACGAGAAGAGAUCGGAAGGAACUGAUCGCGCCCUCGCCGCGGUCCGCCCACGCCUGUGCACGCCAGAGCUCUCUGCACUGCCUGCUCCCAGCGUCUCUGACGAACGCAGCUCCCUCCGGGAAGCCUCACCGGCGAGGGUGGGCCUUGGGGCCGGCGUCUGCGGGGAGCACCAGUCCACAGCUGGGAAACAUCUGGCAUGGUCUGGGCGCAUGCGGAGGGGGAGGGGGCUCCAGUCUCAGCUUGAGUACCCCCUUCCGGGCCCCUCCUGGGUGACUGCGUGACUGCCACCCCUGUGACACUUCUCUGCUCCCCUCCGCCAAAGGACUUGACCUGUCUGUGCCUUGAUUUUCUCAUUUGGGAAAUGGUAAUGGUACGUAACUCGUGGGGCUAUUGUAAAAAUUGAAAAACAGGCCUGGAAACAGGUGCUGCUCCGUGAAUACCAAUCCUCGUCGCAUUUCCUUCGUCUUCAUUAUUCCCAUUUCGAUUCCCCAGCUUGCAGGUGACCACACCGCUCGGCAUUCCCGGCACCCGCCAGAGGCAGCCCUGGGGCACUGCAUGUUGACGGCUCCGCUCCGAUGAAAGGGGCUGCCACCACCUUCCCUCCAGUGAAAAUUAACCGAGCUGCUGGAAAUCAGAACAGAUACUGUGCUC